GUGAGGAAUAUUGGUCAAUGGGCGCAGGCCUGAACCAGCCAAGUAGCGUGAAGGAUGACUGCCCUAUGGGUUGUAAACUUCUUUUAUAUGGGAAUAAAGUUUUCCACGUGUGGAAUUUUGUAUGUACCAUAUGAAUAAGGAUCGGCUAACUCCGUGCCAGCAGCCGCGGUAAUACGGAGGAUCCGAGCGUUAUCCGGAUUUAUUGGGUUUAAAGGGAGCGUAGGUGGACAGUUAAGUCAGUUGUGAAAGUUUGCGGCUCAACCGUAAAAUUGCAGUUGAUACUGGCUGUCUUGAGUACAGUAGAGGUGGGCGGAAUUCGUGGUGUAGCGGUGAAAUGCUUAGAUAUCACGAAGAACUCCGAUUGCGAAGGCAGCUCACUGGACUGCAACUGACACUGAUGCUCGAAAGUGUGGGUAUCAAACAGG
Molecule: ribosomal RNA, 425 nt
Filed under: bacterium
Lineage: Bacteria
Also listed under: 2 other names
Description: bacterial SSU rRNA
Rfam family: Bacterial small subunit ribosomal RNA
Source: RNAcentral